Molecule: ribosomal RNA, 253 nt
Filed under: uncultured bacterium
Lineage: Bacteria
Description: partial 16S ribosomal RNA
Rfam family: Bacterial small subunit ribosomal RNA
Source: RNAcentral
UACGGGGGGGGCAAGCGUUGUUCGGAAUUACUGGGCGUAAAGGGCUCGUAGGUGGCCAACUAAGUCAGACGUGAAAUCCCUCAGCUUAACUGGGGAACUGCGUCUGAUACUGGAUGGCUUGAGUUUGGGAGAGGGAUGCGGAAUUCCAGGUGUAGCGGUGAAAUGCGUAGAUAUCUGGAGGAGCACCGGUGGCGAAGGCGGCAUCCUGGACCAAUACUGACACUGAGGAGCGAAAGCCAGGGGAGCAAACGGG